This is a non-coding RNA of Nematostella vectensis (starlet sea anemone), 72 nucleotides long. The record is from Rfam. Lineage: Eukaryota; Metazoa; Cnidaria; Anthozoa; Actiniaria; Edwardsiidae.
GGGGAUGUAGCUCCUUGGUAGAGCGUCCGCUUUGCAAGCGGAAGGCCCGGGGUUCGAUCCCCCGCAUCUCCA